GUAGCACCUUAGAGACCAACUAAGUUUGUUCUUGGUAUGAGCUUUUGUGUGCAUGCACAUGUGUAUCUGAAGAAGUGUGCAUGCACAUGAAAGCUCAUACCAAGAACAAACUUAGUUGGUCUCUAAGGUGC
Molecule: small nucleolar RNA, 131 nt
Filed under: Podarcis lilfordi (Lilford's wall lizard)
Lineage: Eukaryota; Metazoa; Chordata; Lepidosauria; Squamata; Lacertidae
Source: RNAcentral